GAAACAAUAGGAAAGGGACUGAAUGUGUUGACAAUCAAAGGCCAUCAGUCCACUCCUUAAUGCAAAAUUCGAAUUACGCCGGCAAACAUCCAUUUCACAUAAAAUUUUAUGUGUAGAACCCCAGGUCUUCUUCUGAACGUGCACUGGUAUUGAUUCACCGUGGAAAGCUUUUGCGAUGGCAAAUAUUCCUCUAGCCUUGUCAAUACACAUGGAUUUAAGAUGAUAUUCUGUACUAAUCCAUUGCUUACAGCUUGAGUGUUUUCUCUUCAUGUGCACUCAGAGGUUCUUUUUGUUCAGUCUGAGGUUACAAAAAGAACAUUGCACCUUUCUGAUCUUGGCUUGGACCACCUCAUGGAAUUCAGAGGGCAGAGGCUGGGCAGCAACCAUUGGCGUGGGCACGGAGGGCAGAGACUGGGUGGCAACCAGUGCAGUGGGCACGGAGGGCAGAGGCUGGGUGGUGACCGGUGCUGUGGGCAUGGAGGGCAGAGGCUGGGAAGCCACCAGUGCCAUGGGCACAGAGGGCAGAGGGAGCACUUUAGGAUCUUUGCCACACUAUGACAAGUGCCUGAGGAACUGAUCUUUAUGAACUACUGUUUUCUGGCAAUAACAGCAAUGGUAGUGGCCUGAUCCCUGGCAGUUCAGUGAACACUUGUAUAUUUUGAAACCUGAAACAGUACAAAGAAAA
Erpetoichthys calabaricus (reedfish) is the source of this 685-nucleotide long non-coding RNA. RefSeq lists it as uncharacterized. The transcript has 2 exons. The record is from RefSeq and is a predicted model, not a curated record. Lineage: Eukaryota; Metazoa; Chordata; Cladistia; Polypteriformes; Polypteridae.